This 720-nucleotide ribosomal RNA is filed under the name uncultured fungus. RNAcentral describes it as "SSU rRNA". It matches the Rfam family "Eukaryotic small subunit ribosomal RNA", at positions 827 to 1570 of the family's 1831-position model. The record is from RNAcentral. Lineage: Eukaryota; Fungi.
CGAUUGGUUCUAUUUUGUUGGUUUCUAGGACCAUCGUAAUGAUUAAUAGGGACGGUCGGGGGCAUCAGUAUUCAGUUGUCAGAGGUGAAAUUCUUGGAUUUACUGAAGACUAACUACUGCGAAAGCAUUUGUCAAGGACGUUUUCAUUAAUCAAGAACGAAAGUUAGGGGAUCGAAGAUGAUCAGAUACCGUCGUAGUCUUAACCAUAAACUAUGCCGACUAGGGAUCGGGCGGUGCCUUUUAUUGGCCCACUCGGCACCUUACGAGAAAUCAAAGUUUUUGGGUUCUGGGGGGAGUAUGGUCGCAAGGCUGAAACUUAAAGGAAUUGACGGAAGGGCACCACCAGGAGUGGAGCCUGCGGCUUAAUUUGACUCAACACGGGGAAACUCACCAGGUCCAGACACAAUAAGGAUUGACAGAUUGAGAGCUCUUUCUUGAUUUUGUGGGUGGUGGUGCAUGGCCGUUCUUAGUUGGUGGAGUGAUUUGUCUGCUUAAUUGCGAUAACGAACGAGACCUUAACCUACUAAAUAGUGCUGCUAGCUUUUGCUGGUAUAGUCACUUCUUAGAGGGACUAUCGAUUUCAAGUCGAUGGAAGUUUGAGGCACUAACAGGUCUGUGAUGCCCUUAGACGUUCUGGGCCGCACGCUCGCUACACUGACGGAGCCAGCGAGCUUUUCCUUAGCCGAGAGGUUUGGGUAAUCUUGUGAAACUCCGUCGUGC